Long non-coding RNA from Rhododendron vialii, 941 nucleotides. RefSeq lists it as uncharacterized. NCBI's taxonomy places the organism in Eukaryota, Viridiplantae, Streptophyta, Magnoliopsida, Ericales, Ericaceae. The record is from RefSeq and is a predicted model, not a curated record. The transcript is spliced from 3 exons.
GACCUUCCCCUUUCAACUAAUACCUAACCUAUCCUUUCACCUCUUCCAACCGUCACCAUACAACGCCUCCAAUUAAAACGACACAAAACAACAACGCGACUCCCUUCCCGGAAAAUCCAACUGCAAAAAAUCUUCCAGACUGAACACACACUCUCUCUCUCUCUCUCCAAAGGGUUAAUUGGGCCGCCUCAGUCCUAUGGAUCUCAUAGACUAUCAUAGUAAUGGUUUCAGAAAGAGGGCAAUGCUUGAAAGGCUUGGUAAAGACAUACAAAAGGAGCAGCUCAAAAUCACCCUAUGGAAUGGUAGAUGUCAAAAUUGGCAUGGGAGUAAGAGAUGUCAAAGCUACGUCAGCUUUGGCAUGAUUGAAGGCAGAUGGGUUGGAUUGAAAGUUGAUGCCCAAAAUGAUCGUUAACUUGUCCAUCUCAGCUUUGACAUCUCCCAUUGGAGAUGCUCUAAGGUAUCUUUAAUACUUUGAUUGUUAAUUUUAUAGUGCCCACAUUCAUAAGUGAUAAGAGUGUUUCCCUGUGCUGCCAAUAAUCCCACAAUUUAGAGUGACUUUCUUUAGAAAGAAUUGUUUAUCAUUUAAAAUGAUAUGAGCUCGAAUAUGGUUAUUGAAAAUGAAUACAUUAUAUGUGACAUUUGAGUCUGUUGUAAAUACAUUUGGUUGGAGAUUGAUAAUCCCACCAUCUAGAGAUUGAUACGCUUCUCAAAGUCAAGAGGGGAGACAGAGGAAAAGUUCAAAGUUCAGGUACCCAUGAUCAUUGAAGGUAUCUUCCGUUUGAAUCACAUGGAGCUAGAUCAUUCUUGGACUCAUUUACAAGUCAGAAUCAUGCAGCCACUUGACAAACUAAUAACAUUUGGUGUUAUCUUCCCUGCUCUUCUUGGCCAUUAGAAGGGUUUUUGUAUUCUUGUUUAUGCUUUCCAGUAAUUGAGGGGUCCAA